This 435-nucleotide ribosomal RNA is filed under the name uncultured bacterium. RNAcentral's name for it is "bacterial SSU rRNA". It matches the Rfam family "Bacterial small subunit ribosomal RNA", at positions 42 to 468 of the family's 1533-position model. The record is from RNAcentral.
UCAGGCCUAACACAUGCAAGUCGAACGAGAUUAUAGGGUAAGCUUGCUUACCUUAUAUGACAGUGGCGCACGGGUGCGUAACGCGUAUGCAAUCUACCUUAAUCAGGGGGAUAGCCUCUCGAAAGAGAGAUUAAUACCGCAUAACAUUAUGAUAUGGCAUCAUAUUAUAAUCAAACAUUUAUGGGAUUAAGAUGAGCAUGCGUGACAUUAGCUAGUUGGUGAGGUAACGGCUCACCAAGGCAACGAUGUCUAGGGGAUCUGAGAGGAUGACCCCCCACACUGGUACUGAGACACGGACCAGACUCCUACGGGAGGCAGCAGUAAGGAAUAUUGGUCAAUGGACGCAAGUCUGAACAAGCCAUGCCGCGUGCAGGAAGACGGCCCUAUGGGUUUAAGGUGCUUUUAUACGGGAAUAAACCUUCUUUCGGAAAGAAG